Molecule: ribosomal RNA, 2105 nt
Filed under: human metagenome
Description: bacterial LSU rRNA
Rfam family: Bacterial large subunit ribosomal RNA
Source: RNAcentral
AGGGCGUACGGUGGAUGCCUUGGCGAUAUCAGCCGAAGAAGGACGCGGUAAGCUGCGAUAAGCUACGGAGAGGUGCAAGCAACCUGUGACCCGUAGAUAUCCGAAUGGGGGAACCCGGCAGUGGUUAUGCACUGUCACCCAUAGCAUAGACUAUGAGGAGGGCACCCGGGGAACUGAAACAUCUAAUUACCCGGAGGAACAGUAAUCAAACGAGAUUUUCUUAGUAGCGGCGAGCGAACGGGAAAGAGGCCAAACCGGAGCGGGCAACCGCACCGGGGUUGAGGACAGUCAUCAAGUGUAAAUGAGGUAGAAGAAUCGAGCUGGAAAGCUCAGCCGCAGAAGGUGAAAGCCCUGUAAUCGAAACCUUGCAUACACGGGACUGUAUCCAGAGUACCACGAGACACGUGAAACCUUGUGGGAAGCAGGGGGGACCACCCUCCAAGCCAAAAUACUGAUAUCGACCGAUAGCGCAUAGUACCGUGAGGGAAAGGUGAAAAGAACCCCUGGCGGGGAGUGAAAGAGAACCUGAAACCGUAUGUCUACAAACAGUCGAAGUCUGUAUAUAUAUCAGGACGACGGCGUGCCUAUUGAAGAAUGAACCGACGAGUUACUGUUGCUAGCGAGGUUAAGUGGAAAACAUGGAGCCGCAGCGAAAGCGAGUCUGAACAGGGCGUUCAGUUAGUAAUAGUAGACCCGAAACCGUAGUGAUCUAUCCAUGGCCAGGUUGAAGCACAGGUAAAAUUGUGUGGAGGACCGAACUCGUGAGCGUUGAAAAGCUUUGGGAUGAGUUGUGGAUAGGGGUGAAAUGCCAAUCGAACACGGAGAUAGCUGGUUCUCCCCGAAAUAGCUUUAGGGCUAGCCUCGAGGUAGAGAGUAUAGGCGGUAGAGCACUGAUCGGGCUAGGGGCCAUACCGGUUACCGAACCUAGUCAAACUACGAAUGGCUAUACUUAUACUCGGGAGUCAGACAGUGAAUGAUAAGGUCCAUUGUCAAGAGGGAAACAGCCCAGAACACCGACUAAGGUCCCUAAUGUUACACUAAGUGGCGAAGGAUGUGGAAUUUCCAAAACAACCAGGAUGUUGGCUUAGAAGCAGCCACCAUUUAAAGAGUGCGUAAUAGCUCACUGGUCGAGAGACUCUGCGCCGAAAAUGUCCGGGGCUAAAGUGUAAAACCGAAGUCGUGUCAUAUGCAGCAAUGUAUAUGGGUAGGGGAGCGUUCUCAUCGGGCUGAAGCAGUACCGUAAGGAGUUGUGGACUGAUGAGAAGUGAGAAUGUCGGUAUGAGUAGCGAAAAGAAUGGUGAGAAUCCAUUCCACCGAAAGCCUAAGGGUUCCUGAGCAACGAUCGUCGUCUCAGGGUAAGUCGGGACCUAAGCCGAGGCGGAAAAGCGUAGGCGAUGGACAACAGGUUGAAAUUCCUGUACCGGUGUGAAUCGUUUGAUCGAUGGAGUGACACAGUAAGGUAGGUCAGCACGCGAUUGGAAGAGCGUGUUUAAGCAGGUAGGUUGAGCUAUAGGCAAAUCCGUAGCUCUAAAAGCUGAGAUGUGAUGACGAGUGACUAGCAAUAGUCGCGAAGUGAUUGAUCCUACACUGUCGAGAAAAGCUUCUAGGUAGAGACACAUCGCCCGUACCAAAACCGACACAGGUAGGCGGGGAGAGAAUCCUAAGGUGCGCGGGAAAACCCUCGUUAAGGAACUCGGCAAAAUGCCUCCGUAACUUCGGGAAAAGGAGGACUCAUGUAGUGUGAAGAGCAGCAACGCUUGGAGCAUGAAUGAGUGGCACAAGAGAGGCGCAAGCGACUGUUUACCACAAACACAGGUGCCUGCUAAAGCGAAAGCUGAUGUAUAGGUGCUGACACCUGCCCGGUGCUGGAAGGUUAAGAGGAGGGGUUAGACUUCGGUCGAAGCUCUGAAUUGAAGCCCCAGUAAACGGCGGCCGUAACUAUAACGGUCCUAAGGUAGCGAAAUUCCUUGUCGGGUAAGUUCCGACCCGCACGAAAGGCGUAACGAUUUGGGCACUGUCUCAACGAGGGACCCGGUGAAAUUGAAAUACCUGUGAAGAUGCAGGUUACCCGCGACUGGACAGAAAGACCCCAUGGAGCUUUACUG